RNAcentral lists this ribosomal RNA (484 nucleotides) under uncultured bacterium. RNAcentral's name for it is "partial 16S ribosomal RNA". It matches the Rfam family "Bacterial small subunit ribosomal RNA", at positions 30 to 507 of the family's 1533-position model. The record is from RNAcentral.
AUUGAACGCUGGCGGCAGGCCUAACACAUGCAAGUCGAGCGGAUGAAGGGGGCUUGCUCCUGGAUUCAGCGGCGGACGGGUGAGUAAUGCCUAGGAAUCUGCCUGGUAGUGGGGGAUAACGUCCGGAAAUGGGCGCUACUACCGCAUACGUCCUGAGGGAGAAAGUGGGGGAUCUUCGGACCUCACGCUAUCAGAUGAGCCUAGGUCGGAUUACCUAGGUGGUGGGGUAAAGGCCUACCAAGGCGACGAUCCGUAACUGGUCUGAGAGGAUGAUCAGUCAGCUUGUAAGUGAGAAACGUCCCAGACACUUACGGGAGGCCGCAGUGGGGAAUAUUGGACAAGGGGGGAAAGCCUGAUACAGCCAUGCCGCGUGUGUGAAGAAGGUCUUCGGAUUGUAAAGCAAUUUAAGUUGGGGGGAAGGGCAGUAAGUUAAUACCUGGCUGUUUUGACGUUACCAAAAGAAUAAGCACCGGCUAACUUCGUG